GGCCGCGGGAAUUCGAUUCAGGCCUAACACAUGCAAGUCGAACGAUGAAGCCGGAGCUUGCUCCGGUGGAUUAGUGGCGAACGGGUGAGUAACACGUGAGCAAUCUGCCCUUGACUCUGGGAUAACUCCGAGAAAUCGGUGCUAAUACCGGAUAUGACCUUGGAAGGCAUCUUCUGAGGUGGAAAGUUUUUCGGUCAAGGAUGAGCUCGCGGCCUAUCAGCUUGUUGGUGAGGUAAUGGCUCACCAAGGCAACGACGGGUAGCCUGCCUGAGAGGGUGACCGGCCACACUGGGACUGAGACACGGCCCAGACUCCUACGGGAGGCAGCAGUGGGGAAUAUUG
Molecule: ribosomal RNA, 342 nt
Filed under: uncultured bacterium
Lineage: Bacteria
Description: bacterial SSU rRNA
Rfam family: Bacterial small subunit ribosomal RNA
Source: RNAcentral